GAGGUCGUCGGCGAUCCACCCCGGGCUGUCGGCCGUCGCCGUGAGCAGCGCGAUCACGGCGUAUAUGAAGGAGCUCAGGUAGCUUCCCAGCGCGAUGGUCAGCAGCGCCAGCGAGGUGCACAUGCUCUUCAUGGUGUCUGGCGCCUCGUUGUAGAAGAACUCCAGCUGCGCGAUGUAGCAGAAGACCUCCCCGCCGGCCAGGAAGAAGUACUGCGGCAGCUGCCACGCGAUGCUGAUCUGCUCGCCGCGCGCCGCGCUGCCGAGCCGGCUCGUCUCCACCACCGCCGCGAACGCCAUGGAGAUCGCCAUCAGGACGCGCCCGGCGCCCAUCCGCUGCAGCUGCGACGGCUCCCC
This 354-nucleotide long non-coding RNA is filed under the name Hordeum vulgare. Its description in RNAcentral is "long non-coding RNA (HVUL_LNC014698)". Lineage: Eukaryota; Viridiplantae; Streptophyta; Magnoliopsida; Poales; Poaceae. The record is from RNAcentral.